CCUACGGGCGGCAGCAGUGGGGAAUAUUGGACAAUGGGGGGAACCCUGAUCCAGCCAUGCCGCGUGUGUGAAGAAGGCCCUCGGGUUGUAAAGCACUUUCAGUGAGGAAGAACGCCUGGUGGUUAAUACCCAUCAGGAAAGACAUCACUCACAGAAGAAGCACCGGCUAACUCCGUGCCAGCAGCCGCGGUAAUACGGAGGGUGCGAGCGUUAAUCGGAAUUACUGGGCGUAAAGCGCGCGUAGGUGGCUUGAUAAGCCGGUUGUGAAAGCCCCGGGCUCAACCUGGGAACGGCAUCCGGAACUGUCAAGCUAGAGUGCAGGAGAGGAAAGUAGAAUUCCCGGUGUAGCGGUGAAAUGCGUAGAGAUCGGGAGGAAUACCAGUGGCGAAGGCGGCCUUCUGGACUGACACUGACACUGAGGUGCGAAAGCGUGGGUAGCAAACAGGAUUAGAUACCCGAGUAGUC
Molecule: ribosomal RNA, 465 nt
Filed under: Vreelandella stevensii
Lineage: Bacteria; Pseudomonadati; Pseudomonadota; Gammaproteobacteria; Oceanospirillales; Halomonadaceae
Description: partial 16S ribosomal RNA
Rfam family: Bacterial small subunit ribosomal RNA
Source: RNAcentral